AUUUAAAUAGCUUAUAUUUAAAGUAUAAUAGUGAAGAUAUUAUGAUAAUAAUUUAUAUUUUUAAAUA
RNAcentral lists this transfer RNA (67 nucleotides) under Acropyga guianensis. Its description in RNAcentral is "tRNA-Phe". Lineage: Eukaryota; Metazoa; Arthropoda; Insecta; Hymenoptera; Formicidae. The record is from RNAcentral.